AAAUCUGGGAAAACAACUGAAGGGGGAACCGAUCCACCAAUCUGUGGUGAAGAGGAGCCCAGCAUAAUCAAGGUUUUUGACUAUGAAAAUCAGGCAACAGAAGAAGGAAUUCCAUAUGGAGGUACUUUUUCAGGAGUGGAAACAAUCUUUCUGGCUGAUCCUCAGACAGAGACAUACGUCUCCCAAAUACAACCGUCUCCACGAGAAGAAGCAUCUUUUCCAAUUAUCCACUAAACAAUGUCUGUUUUGGAAAUGAAAAGAGCUUUAUGCAAGAUGAAUACCUGAAUCGAAUUUUAGCCGAUGAAA
This is a long non-coding RNA of Vigna unguiculata (cowpea), 306 nucleotides long. Lineage: Eukaryota; Viridiplantae; Streptophyta; Magnoliopsida; Fabales; Fabaceae. The record is from RefSeq and is a predicted model, not a curated record.